AUGAUUUGGAGAACUGUGAGAUCAGUCUUUGGCACCGAGUUGUGCCCUAACAACAUUUGGCAGUUUUGUUCGUGGUGCUACACGUUUUUACCUGAUGGGGGCAGAUUCUACAGUUUUGGUCUUGCAGCUAUAUGCUGGUCCAUUUGGAACUGCCGCAAUCAAGCAACCUUUGGGUUUAAAUUUCUUAAAAUCCCUUUUGAGGUGGUGUUCUCUUCAUGUGUAUUUCUGGAUUAUGGGGCAGGUUUGCUGAAGAGUGAUGACCAGGAGGCAAUGUGGCGUGGGGCAAUGAUGCUCAGGGAUAAUGUGAAGAACAUGAUGCGUAUCUGUGCUGCUGCUCAAGAUGAUGGUGCGAUGGACUGA
RNAcentral lists this ribosomal RNA (360 nucleotides) under Triticum aestivum (bread wheat). RNAcentral's name for it is "partial small subunit ribosomal RNA". Lineage: Eukaryota; Viridiplantae; Streptophyta; Magnoliopsida; Poales; Poaceae. The record is from RNAcentral.